GCCGUGUCUGCCACUUCGUGUCGCAGCCUCGUGUGCUUUCCACGGCUGGUCGUUGAUAUUCGUAUAUCGGUUUAAUCAUCGUAUUUACUGUCUAUUUUACAUGCUGUGUAUUUGGAAACCAACUUUUUCAGUAUCACACACACACAUACAAGCGGGUGUUACGACAUAUAAAUUUCGGAAAUUUCCGAUUUGGUCAUAAAUUCGUAUACGGCAGCAUUGAUUAACUUGAUAUGUGAUAUUUUUGGGCUUUCGUCCUUAAAAUCAUAUGCAGACAUAAAUCCUUACAUAAAUACAUACUCUGUAUAACCCUACAAACACCCAGACAACUCUCGACAAGCGGGUGGCUACCUAAACAAGCCUGCAUUCACAGCUUUACUCCGUUAUGUUUGCGCAUAAUAAAUGACUUUCAACGCCAGGAAAGGUUUCAUAAAAUGUGUAUGGAUUUGUGGGUUCACGAACUAAACCGAACCCGAAAAACAACAUCAAAAACAAAUGCUUUAUUGUAGGCGAUGCACAAAUAUUAAGAAAUAUUACUAAAAACCGAUGAAAAAUAUUAGAAGCGCCCAUAAUGGCGUUUUCGUUUCACGCAUUGCCCAAGCAGUCUAAAAAAACCUGUAACAUAUAUUACAUCCCGAAAAAGGUAUUUUAAGUUUCCUGCGAGUUUUAUAGCAUCAGCAGGAAUUGUUAAAGACACCGUACGGAUAUAUAGAAGGUCAAUUAAAAAGUCUCCAACCUGACACAUAGAUGACGCUACUCGAAUUAAAUUCAUAAGAUUUGUAGUUAGCCCUAACUUUCAAAAGACGUGUGUAUAAAUUGGCAGCUGUCGCAUUAUUAGUUUGGUCAUGUUAUUUUUCUUCAGUAUUGUUUGACUGCCUGAACAACG
RNAcentral lists this long non-coding RNA (883 nucleotides) under Bactrocera tryoni. RNAcentral describes it as "uncharacterized LOC120772122, transcript variant X2". Lineage: Eukaryota; Metazoa; Arthropoda; Insecta; Diptera; Tephritidae. The record is from RNAcentral.